GACGAACGCUGGCGGCGUGGAUUAGGCAUGCAAGUCGAACGGUAGGAUACCUUCGGGUAUCUGAGAGUGGCGAACGGGUGAGUAACACGUAGGUGAUCUACCCUCAAGAUUGGGACAACCCAGGGAAACUUGGGCUAAUACCGGAUGAAAGCAGCAGUGAUGUUGUUUGAAAGGUGGCGUAAGCUGCCGUUUGGGGAUGAGCCUGCGCUCUAUUAGUUAGUUGGCGGGGUAAAGGCCCACCAAGGCGAUGAUAGAUAGGCGGCCUUAACGGGUGGUCGCCCACACUGGGAUUGAGAUGCGGCCCAGACUCCUACGGGAGGCAGCAGUCGAGAAUAGUCUACAAUGGCCGAAAGGCUGAUAGUGCGACGCCGCGUGAACGAAGAAGCCCUUCGGGGUGUAAAGUUCUUUUAUAUGUGAGCAGUGCUUUCUAUGUGAACAGCAUGGGGAGAGAGAUAUUAGCAUAUGAAUAAGCAACGGCUAACUCCGUGCCAGC
Molecule: ribosomal RNA, 493 nt
Filed under: uncultured bacterium
Lineage: Bacteria
Description: bacterial SSU rRNA
Rfam family: Bacterial small subunit ribosomal RNA
Source: RNAcentral